Long non-coding RNA from Panicum virgatum (switchgrass), 659 nucleotides. RefSeq lists it as uncharacterized. The transcript has 2 exons. The record is from RefSeq and is a predicted model, not a curated record. NCBI's taxonomy places the organism in Eukaryota, Viridiplantae, Streptophyta, Magnoliopsida, Poales, Poaceae.
UCCACCAGUCUGCGAUAGCGCGACGUCAGUCUGCGGCGGCACGCCGCACUCGCACGCCCGCAGGCUGCAGACAGCAGGCAGCGCGCACGAUUCCGGCGGCCGGCACUGACCGACCGAUAUGCAAGCAGCAAGCUGCAACUGCAAGCAGGCAGCGCCAGCACUGCAGUCUGCAGGUCGGCACUCUGCGGCAAGAGGGAGAAAAGGAGGCCGGACAGGCGGAUCUUGGUACUCACGGCAAACCCAUGAAAUUUGGAUAGUCCGGGUGCGUCAUCCAGAGGGUCUAGGUUUCAAUAUAAUGCUGCCAUGAGGAAAUUGGAUUUACAUGUAGUGUGCACCUGGUAUUUGGCGCAAAAUUGUGCCAACACAAAUAAAAAAAUAAAGCAAUCAUUUCUGUUCCUCUGAGGUAGCUUGUCUGAAGCUAAGUACACCAGAUGGACAUGGGGUCCAAGUAUCAUAUAGUCCACUAGUUGUUUUCAGCAUGGUUUUAUAUAUCUGUGUGUGUGCUCGCGCGCGCUCUUUUUAAGAUCUGGGGUGAGCCUGGGGCUUUAUCUAUUGCCACAAAACAUGCAGUUCCUCGAUCGCUUUUCGAAAACCUGUUUUAUUUGCAGCGCUUGAAAGGAAAAAAAAAGGCAGCAUCAUGCAUUGCGUGAUCGAAUGUA